RNAcentral lists this ribosomal RNA (404 nucleotides) under Verrucomicrobiota bacterium. RNAcentral describes it as "Verrucomicrobia bacterium partial 16S ribosomal RNA". It matches the Rfam family "Bacterial small subunit ribosomal RNA", at positions 355 to 776 of the family's 1533-position model. Lineage: Bacteria; Pseudomonadati; Verrucomicrobiota. The record is from RNAcentral.
UGGGGAAUAUUGCACAAUGGGGGAAACCCUGAUGCAGCGACGCCGCGUGAGCGAAGAAGGUUUUCGAAUCGUAAAGCUCUGUCCUAUGAGAAGAUAAUGACGGUAUCAUAGGAGGAAGCCCCGGCUAAAUACGUGCCAGCAGCCGCGGUAAUACGUAGGUGGCGAGCGUUAUCCGGAUUUACUGGGUGUAAAGGGCGUGCAGGCGGGCUGAUAAGUCAGAUGUGAAAUCCCCGAGCUUAACUCGGGAACUGCAUCUGAUACUGUUGGUCUUGAGUGCUGGAGAGGAUAGUGGAAUUCCUAGUGUAGCGGUAAAAUGCGCAGAUAUUAGGAGGAACACCAGUGGCGAAGGCGGCUAUCUGGACAGUAACUGACGCUGAGGCGCGAAAGCGUGGGUAGCAAACAGG